Long non-coding RNA from Gorilla gorilla gorilla (western lowland gorilla), 1474 nucleotides. RefSeq lists it as uncharacterized. The transcript has 3 exons. The record is from RefSeq and is a predicted model, not a curated record. NCBI's taxonomy places the organism in Eukaryota, Metazoa, Chordata, Mammalia, Primates, Hominidae.
GUGAAUCAUACUUAUUGUCAGGCCUCUGAGCCCAAGCCAAGCCAUCGCAUCCCCUGUGACUUGCACGUAUAUGCCCAGAUGGCCUGAAGUAACUGAAGAAUCACAAAAGAAGUGAAUAUGCCCUGCCCCACCUUAACUGAUGACAUUCCACCACAAAAGAAGUGUAAAUGGCCGGUCCUUGCCUUAAGUGAUGACAUUACCUUGUGAAAGUCCUUUUCCUGGCUCAUCCUGGCUCAAAAAGACUCCCACUUAGCACCUUUCGACCCCCACUCCUGCCCGCCAGAGAACAACCCCCCUUUGACUGUAAUUUUCCUUUACCUACCCAAAUCCUAUAAAACGGCCCCACCCCAUCUUCCUUUGCUGACUCUCUUUUCGGACUCAGCCUGACUGCACCCAGGUGGAAUAAACAGCCAUGUUGCUCACACGAAGCCUGUUUAGUGGUCUCUUCACACGGACACGCAUGAAAUUUGGUGCCGUGACUCGGAUCGGGGGACCUCCCUUGGGAGAUCAAUCCCCUGUCCUCCUGUUCUUUGCUCUGUGAGAAAGAUCCACCUACGACCUCAGGUCCUCAGACCGACCAGCCCAAGGAACAUCUCACCAAUUUUAAAUCAGGAGCUUGCUACACCUGCCGGAAAUCUGGCCACUGGGCCAAGGAAUGCCCACAGCACAGGAUUCCUCCUAAGCCGCGUCCCAUCUGUGUGGGACCCCACUGAAAAUUGGACUGUUCAACUCACCUGGCAGCCACUCCCAGAGCCCCUGGAACUCUGGCCCAAGGCUCUCUGACUGACUCCUUCCCAGAUCUUCUCAGCUUAGCGGCUGAAGACUGACACUGCCCAAUCGCCUCGGAAGCCCCCUAGACCAUCACGGACGCCGAGCUUCGGGUAACUCUCACAGUGGAAGCUCAAGCUGAGUUUUGCUGGCUGUCCACCACUGCUGUUUUCCGCCAUCGCAGACCCGCUGCUGAGUUCCAUCCCUCCGGAUCCACCAGGGUGUCCACUGUGCUCCUGAUCCAGCAAGGCGCCCAUUGCCGCUCCUGAUCGGGCUAAAGGCUUGCCAUUGUUCCUGCACGGCUAAGUGCCUGGGUUCGUCCUAAUCGAGCUGAACACUAGUCACUGGGUUCCACAGUUCUCUUCCAUGACCCACAGCUUCUAACAGAGCUAUAACACUCACUGCAUGGCCCAAGAUUCCAUUCCUUGGAAUCCGUGAGGCCAAGAAUCCCAGGUCAGAGAAUACGAGGCUUGCCACCACUUGGAAGCGGCCUGCCGCCAUUUUGGAAGCGGCCCGCUGCCAUCUUGGGAUCUCUGGGAGCAAGGACCCCCGGUAACAAUUAUGCAUGCAAUAAUAACAUGAAACCAAAUAUUGUGAUGGGGCUGAAUUUUAGAUGGAUGAGGAAAGUAAAGGUGAGAAAUGGCUGUGUAAACAAGAUGGAUCCUUCAACUACUAAAGGCCAAUAAAUAAAUGCAUAUUGUCUAAA